RNAcentral lists this ribosomal RNA (486 nucleotides) under uncultured bacterium. Its description in RNAcentral is "partial 16S ribosomal RNA". It matches the Rfam family "Bacterial small subunit ribosomal RNA", at positions 28 to 507 of the family's 1533-position model. The record is from RNAcentral.
GACGAACGCUGGCGGCGUGCUUAACACAUGCAAGUCGAACGGGAUCCAAAGGCUUUUUGUUUUUGGUGAGAGUGGCGAACGGGUGAGUAACACGUGAGUAACCUGCCCCCUUCUUUUGGAUAACCGCAUGAAAGUGUGGCUAAUACAGGAUAUUCCAGGCUGGUCGCAUGAUUGGUUUGGGAAAUGGUUUGGUCUGGUGGGGGAUGGGCUCGCGGCCUAUCAGCUUGUUGGUGGGGUGAUGGCCUAACAAGGCGGUGACGGGUAGCCGGCCUGGGAGGGUGGGCGGUCACACUGGGACUGCGAUACGGCCCAGACUCCUACGGGAGGCAGCAGUGGGGGAUAUUGCACAAUGGGCGCAAGCCUGAUGCAGCGACGCCGCGUGAGGGAUGAAGGCCUUCGGGUUGUAAACCUCUUUCGCUGGGUUGAAAGGCCAUGCUUGGGGUGUGGUUGAUUUGAACUGGUAAAGAAGUACCGGCUAACUACGUG